UAUUGGACAAUGGGCGCAAGCCUGAUCCAGCCAUUCCGCGUGCAGGAUGAAGGCCCUCGGGUUGUAAACUGCUUUUGUACGGAACGAAAAGGCUUCCUCUAAUACAGGGAGCUCAUGACGGUACCGUAAGAAUAAGCACCGGCUAACUACGUGCCAGCAGCCGCGGUAAUACGUAGGGGACGAGCGUUGUCCGGAGUUACUGGGCGUAAAGCGCCCGCAGGCGGUCCGCUCAGUUUGCGCUGACAGCUCCUGGCUUAACUGGGAGAGCGGUGCGAAGACGGGCGGACUUGAGGACCAGAGAGGGACAUGGAACUCCGGGUGUAGUGGUGAAAUGCGUAGAUAUCCGGAAGAACACCAAAGGCGAAGGCAGUGUCCUGGCUGGUACCUGACGCUCAGGGGCGAAAGCUAGGGGAGCGAAC
RNAcentral lists this ribosomal RNA (419 nucleotides) under uncultured bacterium. Its description in RNAcentral is "bacterial SSU rRNA". It matches the Rfam family "Bacterial small subunit ribosomal RNA", at positions 362 to 773 of the family's 1533-position model. The record is from RNAcentral.